This 163-nucleotide non-coding RNA is filed under the name bovine gut metagenome. The record is from RNAcentral.
UGACAGGUGCUCUGCACAGGGCAGAGUGAAAAGGGAACCGGGUGAGAAUCCCGGACGAGCCCGUCACUGUAAUCGGGGAAUGUUUCCGGCAGCAGCCCCACUGGAUGAUCCGGGAAGGGGCCGGAAACGUGCUGAUCCGUAAGUCAGGAGACCUGCCUGUCAU